GACGAACGCUGGCGGCGUGCUUAACACAUGCAAGUCGAACGGAAAGGCCCUGCUUUUGUGGGGUGCUCGAGUGGCGAACGGGUGAGUAACACGUGAGUAACCUGCCCUUGACUUUGGGAUAACUUCAGGAAACUGGGGCUAAUACCGGAUAGGAGCUCCUGCUGCAUGGUGGGGGUUGGAAAGUUUCGGCGGUUGGGGAUGGACUCGCGGCUUAUCAGCUUGUUGGUGGGGUAGUGGCUUACCGAGGCUUUGACGGGUAGCCGGCCUGAGAGGGUGACCGGCCACAUUGGGACUGAGAUACGGCCCAGACUCCUACGGGAGGCAGCAGUGGGGAAUAUUGCACAAUGGGCGGAAGCCUGAUGCAGCAACGCCGCGUGCGGGAUGACGGCCUUCGGGUUGUAAACCGCUUUCGCCUGUGACGAAGCGUGAGUGACGGUAAUGGGGAAAGAAGCACCGGCUAACUACGU
Molecule: ribosomal RNA, 467 nt
Filed under: uncultured bacterium
Lineage: Bacteria
Description: partial 16S ribosomal RNA
Rfam family: Bacterial small subunit ribosomal RNA
Source: RNAcentral